Molecule: ribosomal RNA, 689 nt
Filed under: uncultured Streptomyces sp.
Lineage: Bacteria; Bacillati; Actinomycetota; Actinomycetes; Kitasatosporales; Streptomycetaceae
Description: bacterial SSU rRNA
Rfam family: Bacterial small subunit ribosomal RNA
Source: RNAcentral
UUAACACAUGCAAGUCGAACGAUGAAGCCCUUCGGGGUGGAUUAGUGGCGAACGGGUGAGUAACACGUGGGCAAUCUGCCCUGCACUCUGGGACAAGCCCUGGAAACGGGGUCUAAUACCGGAUAUGACCAUCUUGGGCAUCCUUGAUGGUGUAAAGCUCCGGCGGUGCAGGAUGAGCCCGCGGCCUAUCAGCUUGUUGGUGAGGUAAUGGCUCACCAAGGCGACGACGGGUAGCCGGCCUGAGAGGGCGACCGGCCACACUGGGACUGAGACACGGCCCAGACUCCUACGGGAGGCAGCAGUGGGGAAUAUUGCACAAUGGGCGAAAGCCUGAUGCAGCGACGCCGCGUGAGGGAUGACGGCCUUCGGGUUGUAAACCUCUUUCAGCAGGGAAGAAGCGAAAGUGACGGUACCUGCAGAAGAAGCGCCGGCUAACUACGUGCCAGCAGCCGCGGUAAUACGUAGGGCGCAAGCGUUGUCCGGAAUUAUUGGGCGUAAAGAGCUCGUAGGCGGCUUGUCACGUCGAUUGUGAAAGCUCGGGGCUUAACCCCGAGUCUGCAGUCGAUACGGGCUAGCUAGAGUGUGGUAGGGGAGAUCGGAAUUCCUGGUGUAGCGGUGAAAUGCGCAGAUAUCAGGAGGAACACCGGUGGCGAAGGCGGAUCUCUGGGCCAUUACUGACGCUGAGGAGC